GCUCAGGAUGAACGCUGGCGGCGUGCUUAACACAUGCAAGUCGAACGAAGCGCUUGGAUGGAAUUCUUCGGAAGGAAGCUCAAGUGACUGAGUGGCGGACGGGUGAGUAACGCGUGGGUAACCUGCCUCAUACAGGGGGAUAACAGUUAGAAAUGACUGCUAAUACCGCAUAAGCACACGUGAUCGCAUGAUCGAGUGUGAAAAACUCCGGUGGUAUGAGAUGGACCCGCGUCUGAUUAGCUAGUUGGUGGGGUAACGGCUCACCAAGGCGACGAUCAGUAGCCGGCCUGAGAGGGUGAACGGCCACAUUGGGACUGAGACACGGCCCAAACUCCUACGGGAGGCAGCAGUA
Molecule: ribosomal RNA, 352 nt
Filed under: uncultured bacterium
Lineage: Bacteria
Description: bacterial SSU rRNA
Rfam family: Bacterial small subunit ribosomal RNA
Source: RNAcentral